CUUCACCAGCAAAGGCAACCGACAGUGUGGAGGGUGAAAAUGCCCCAACAACAGCUGAGCAUUGGUCUUCUGGCUUCUGUUCUAAUAGAACUUCAUGUGAAACAUUACCAGCAGUGGAGACAGUUUCAUCUAGUGAGGAUAACGAGAUCCCUCAAACGCACAAAAAACAGGUCACCACCCACACAGCAUGGGGAGUCCUCUGGAAUCUGUUCCGGUAGGGGCCCUACAAAAGGCAAAGCAAAAAGAAUGCCAUGGACGCAAUCAGAGGUUGAGGCUGUGGAGAAACACAUGAUCCGCUUCAUCCAUUCUUGCGUGGUACCAUCAAAGCUGGAUUGUGAGAAAUGCAUCAGAGCUGAACAAGAGGCUCUUAACAACCGGACUUGGCAGAAUGUUAAAUUCUUUGUGCAUAAUCGCAUUACAGCGUACAAAAAAAAGUUCUUAGUAAAUGUUGAGUAAAUGUUGAAUGUAUACUGGCACUAUAGGUUCAUGCAAAAAUGUAAAGUUUGAGUCUGUCCUGUCACUUUUUUUGUUGUUUGCUGCUGUUGUAAGUAAUUGUCAGCUGUUUUAUUAAAACGUUCAGUUAAACAAUUCAUAGGAGUUUAAAACUUAUAUUUCAUGUAAAAAUGUCCACUCUGUUAGGUUAGGUUACUAAUAUUUUGAAAUCUUUUUAUACACUAAUCUUUCAGGUGAGUUAUCUAAUAAUCUAAGCUAUAGUUAUUAGGUCCCCAGAACUCAUGAUGAAGUGUUAACUAUGCAAAUUCUAUGCAAAUUGGGUUCCCACAACACAUGUUUAAUGUUUUUUCCGGAUGUCCCCAAAAAGCAUGAUUAGAAAGUCUACAUUCAGAAAUUUCAGAAUUGUGAGUAUCUGAAUGUGUGUAUGAGCUCCCUGCGUAAUGGCCAAUUUACCUGAUUUUUUUUCAAACCUGUAGCCCUUCGGGAAAGGGUAGUCCCCGAAAGGGAUGCUUAAACAAGUCGUCCCCACAACCCGUGAAAACCUGUGUGUGUGUGUGUGUGUGUGUGUGUGUGUAUUUAAGACAAUUGCUUCUGUCUUAAAUCCCACACAAUCGUGUUGCUUGAAACCUUGUGCGGAGAUGUGCAAUAAAUAAAAAAUGAGAUCCGGGAAUGGUGGAACU
RNAcentral lists this long non-coding RNA (1133 nucleotides) under Betta splendens (Siamese fighting fish). Its description in RNAcentral is "lncRNA (ENSBSLG00000005790.1)". The record is from RNAcentral. Lineage: Eukaryota; Metazoa; Chordata; Actinopteri; Anabantiformes; Osphronemidae.